Lolium rigidum is the source of this 991-nucleotide long non-coding RNA. RefSeq lists it as uncharacterized. The record is from RefSeq and is a predicted model, not a curated record. The transcript has 2 exons. NCBI's taxonomy places the organism in Eukaryota, Viridiplantae, Streptophyta, Magnoliopsida, Poales, Poaceae.
GCAAUGCCGACCACACGCCGAGAACAGCUUCGGCUUUCUUCACCUUCGAGCUAGGACAAGACGAUGAAUCCCAUGGUCUCCGGUCACGGCUACCGUCCUCCCCGCCCCCUCCCCGCCCUCCUUCCCUCCCUCCGACGUCGUUCCCCUUUCUGUUGCUGCAGUCCUUCAUCCCCUUUCUGUAGCUUGGUCCGUUCGUGUCCUCCGGUCGCCGCCUCAUUAUUCCAGCCGGCGGCCCCGUUCCCUCCCUCAGCCGACGCCCUUGCGCUAUCUCUCCGACGGCCUCUCCUCCCGCACUUCCCCUACCAGGGUACCUCCAUUCAUCCGCUGCUCUGAAACCUCUUGGGGUUGCACUGGCGGCAGCAGCACUCGUCUUCGAGUACGGAGAUGGAGGUCGUAGACGCGCAAUAGAGGUGGCGCCGACUUGCGUCGUCGGUCCAGGCCGUGCUGCGGUGCCUCCUCCCGUCCGGAAGCGAACCGGCGCCGGCGUUCGUCUAAUUGUUUCGUCUCCACCUCGUACCUCCACAGGAGACAACACAGGAUGGGAAGUAAAUGGCCAGUUCAAAAAGAAGAUAUUAGAACUAGAAAACGAAAUCAUGAGGAUUGGGAGUGCUGUUUCUUACUGCCUGUUGUUGUGAUUCAUCAUGGUCCUCACGGUUCACAGGAUCAAUCCUUGAAGAAGCCAUCAAUGGACAAGGGAGAAUUUGCCUGGGACUUGUUGAAUUCGCAUCAGCUUGUCCCUAGAUUCGUUGAUUGAUGGAGGUCUUCUACACUUGUAUAUUUUCUGUAAUCUGGCUCCGCUUCUCCCUGGUUGUGUAUGCUGUACGUAGAUGAAGGAGGUGCGAUUUGUUGUUCUGUGCAUCAAGUGUUUUUGGCGCGCAGAGGUAUAUUGUAUUGUUAUUUGGCGCGAAGGAGAAAGUUUCCCUCCUGUAUUUUGUUAGAUGCAGAUUCAGUGCCGAGAAUUACGUGAAGGGAUACGGUCGUAUUUCUCUUU